CAAAAUCUUCCAUCGCCCGGGGCUGAGACUUGUCAAACUGCCCUCUACGGUCACCCGGAAAGUAGGAGGCUUUUUCUGCAGAGGGGAAAAAAAUCAAAAAGAGCCGUUCCAUCCCCCCUCCAAGGACUGGGUUUGAAUUGCUUUUCAUCUGCAGUGGCUGUGAUUCAGCGUCCCUCUUAGCAGCAGGCAAUGACAGAGGCAGGAGAGGGGAAAAAAAAAAAGAAAGAAAGAAAAAACACAGCAAAUGAAUCAAACGGACCAGGUAGCAGGCAAGAGUGUGGUUAUCGUUGGACCAGGAUUCAGGAUCUGACUGAGUAGCUGACUCUUAAUCCAGUUUGUGUUGAUCACCAGGAGGAUCUGGACCUCAGUAUUACCACAUCUAGAGGUGAUAUGCCAACUCCACCUUUGCCUUCCACCAUGUUUGGAAGCUCCCUGAGGCCUCACCAGGAGCAGAUGCUCGUCCCAUGCUUCCUAUAAGCCUGCAGAACUGGAAAAGAAAGCUGGAUAAAGUAUUUAUAGAAGAUAGAGGACCUGUGGUGGCUCAUGCCUGUAAUCCAAGGUGGAAGGAUUGCUUGAGGCCAGAAGUUCAAGACCAGUCCAAGCAACAUAGCAAGGCCCCAUCUCUACAAAAAAUGAAAAUAAAAUUAGCCGAGCGUGAUGGCUCAUGCCUGUAGUUCUAGCUUCUAGAGAGGCUGAGGCAGGAGGAUUGCUUGAGUCCAGGAGUUCAAGAUUACAGUGAGCUAUGGUCACACCACUGCACUCCAGCCUGGGUGAUGGAGUGAGACUGUCUCAAUAAAAAGACAAAAAGGCUGGCCAGGGGCAGUGGUUCAUGCCUGUAAACCCAGCACUUUGGGAGGCAAAGGCAGGAGGAUUGCUUAAGCCCAGGAAUUUGAGAUCAGCCUGGACAACAUGGUCAAGGAAGCUUUUCCUGAUCCACUAACUAAGGACAAUCAAACCCUUCAUGAUCUAGAAUCUGGAGACUGUGUCUUCUGGGAAUAGUAUCAGAGAAAGACUGCCCUUACUGCCCACAUGUAGCAAAACUUUGAGACGUUGAAUUAUGGGUCCAUAAUCUCACAACUCAGAGGGGCACCUCUAGACUCUUGGAACUGUAUAUCUAUUGGAGACUUUAAGGUAAAGCUGAACAGAGAGACGUUUUUCUCCAGAAGCAGACAGCACCAUAGUCAUGGACAGCUUUCCCAAGAUCACAGAUCAAGACUUCUCUGCCGUCAUGAGACUCAUAACCUCUUAAUUUUUUCUUGCUUAUGCUUCUGUGAACAAUAGAAUUGGAAAAGGGGUGGUCCCGCGUGCACCCAUAGGGUAUACUUUUAUUUGUGGAGGAUUUUGCUGCCAACCUUAUACAUGGGCAAACUUAUGCCUUCAUGGAUGGAAGAUAAAGGGCUAAUAUGGGUUAGAAAUUUUAAUGGUACCUUUGUUUCUCCAUAAUCAUUCAGAAACAGAACACUGGUCCACUCUUGUUAACCUACAUCAUAGGUUGAAGAGAACAUUGCCAGGAGGCCUUCAUCCUUCCAGAUGGGCACCAUUUGUUGGGUCUUUUUCCGUGGUAUGAAGAAAAUGAAGCAAUGAUUAGAAAUUGGUCCCUCGGCCGGGCACAAUGGCUCAUGCCUGUAAUCCCAUCACUUUGGCAGGCCGAGGCGGGUGGAUCACCUGAGGUCAGGAGUUUGAGACCAGCCUGACCAAUGUGGUGAAACGCCAUCUCUACUAAAAAUACAAAAAUUAGCUGGGUGUGAUGGUGCACACCUGUAAUCCAGCUACUCGGGAGGCUGAGACAGGAGAAUUGCUUGAACCUGGGAGGCAGAGGUUGCAGUGAGCCAAGAUCACCCCACUGCAUUCCAGGUUGGGCAACAGAGCAAGACUCUGUCUCAAAAAAAAAAGAAGAAAGAAAGAAAUUGAUCCCUCAUAAUAGGCUGUAUAGCAGAUUCUACUGCAAAGGCUAUGGUUGCACAACAGACUUCUUUGAAUUUGCUUGCUAAACUUUUACUGGAUAAUACUGGGAUUACAGGUGUGAGCCACUGUGCCCAGCCUCUCCUGUUUAACUGUAUUCAUUCUAAUGUUUACUUACUUCUUUAAUUUGUAAAAUUGGGUCACUUAGAGUUUUUUUAGCCUAUCUUGCCAUUUAGCCACUGUUACUGAUAAUUUGGAUGGAAAAGAAAAAUAAAUUAUAUCACCUCUCAUCUUCAGUGUAUAUAUGUGUUAACUUAGUAAAUAUAGUAUUCUUUCUCGUUCCUAAUGAAAAUUUAGUUUACGUACUGAAACACUGCAAACUUUUAUAAAUAUUGUGAUGUAUUUGACCAAUACAAAGGAUCUUUUUAGAAACAGCAAACAGUUCUCAGAUUAUAGGAAUUACUCAUUUAAUGAUAGUUUCUUCUU
RNAcentral lists this long non-coding RNA (2388 nucleotides) under Homo sapiens (human). RNAcentral's name for it is "HSALNT0186829". Lineage: Eukaryota; Metazoa; Chordata; Mammalia; Primates; Hominidae. The record is from RNAcentral.